This 961-nucleotide ribosomal RNA is filed under the name uncultured bacterium. RNAcentral describes it as "bacterial SSU rRNA". It matches the Rfam family "Bacterial small subunit ribosomal RNA", at positions 56 to 1013 of the family's 1533-position model. The record is from RNAcentral.
UGCAAGUCGAACGGCAGCGCGGGGGCAACCGUGGCGGCGAGUGGCGAACGGGUGAGUAAUAUAUCGGAACGUACCCAAGAGUGGGGGAUAACGUAGCGAAAGUUACGCUAAUACCGCAUACGCCCUAAGGAUGAAAGCAGGGGAUCGCAAGACCUUGUGCUCCUGGAGCGGCCGAUAUCUGAUUAGCUAGUUGGUGGGGUAAAGGCCCACCAAGGCAACGAUCAGUAGCUGGUCUGAGAGGACGACCAGCCACACUGGAACUGAGACACGGUCCAGACUCCUACGGGAGGCAGCAGUGGGGAAUUUUGGACAAUGGGGGCAACCCUGAUCCAGCAAUGCCGCGUGAGUGAAGAAGGCCUUCGGGUUGUAAAGCUCUUUUGUCAGGGAAGAAAAGGCUGUGGCUAAUAUCCACAGCUGCUGACGGUACCUGAAGAAUAAGCACCGGCUAACUACGUGCCAGCAGCCGCGGUAAUACGUAGGGUGCAAGCGUUAAUCGGAAUUACUGGGCGUAAAGCGUGCGCAGGCGGUUUCGUAAGUCUGUCGUGAAAUCCCCGGGCUUAACCUGGGAAUGGCGAUGGAGACUGCGAAGCUAGAGUUUGGCAGAGGGGGGUAGAAUUCCACGUGUAGCAGUGAAAUGCGUAGAGAUGUGGAGGAACACCGAUGGCGAAGGCAGCCCCCUGGGUCAAAACUGACGCUCAUGCACGAAAGCGUGGGGAGCAAACAGGAUUAGAUACCCUGGUAGUCCACGCCCUAAACGAUGUCUACUAGUUGUUGGGUCUUAAUUGACUUAGUAACGCAGCUAACGCGUGAAGUAGACCGCCUGGGGAGUACGNUCGCAAGAUUAAAACUCAAAGGAAUUGACGGGGACCCGCACAAGCGGUGGAUGAUGUGGAUUAAUUCGAUGCAACGCGAAAAACCUUACCUACCCUUGACAUGGCAGGNAUCCCGGAGAGAUUUGGGA